Molecule: ribosomal RNA, 253 nt
Filed under: uncultured bacterium
Lineage: Bacteria
Description: partial 16S ribosomal RNA
Rfam family: Bacterial small subunit ribosomal RNA
Source: RNAcentral
UACGAAGGGGGCUAGCGUUGCUCGGAAUUACUGGGCGUAAAGGGCGCGUAGGCGGAUAUUUAAGUUAGAGGUGAAAGCCCAGGGCUCAACCCUGGAAUAGCCUUUAAUACUGGAUAUCUUGAGUUCGGGAGAGGUGAGUGGAACUCCGAGUGUAGAGGUGAAAUUCGUAGAUAUUCGCAAGAACACCAGUGGCGAAGGCGGCUCACUGGCCCGAUACUGACGCUGAGGCACGAAAGCGUGGGGAGCAAACAGG